Dermacentor albipictus is the source of this 615-nucleotide long non-coding RNA. RefSeq lists it as uncharacterized. The record is from RefSeq and is a predicted model, not a curated record. NCBI's taxonomy places the organism in Eukaryota, Metazoa, Arthropoda, Arachnida, Ixodida, Ixodidae.
AAAAUUGUGGGGAAGUGACAACGAAAGCUUCGCCUCAAGGUGCUUAAAACAGCCUAACUAGGGUGUAUACUAUCGUAAUUUAACCUUAGGACCGUAUGCGUCCACAGAAUUUGAAGACGUGCGCCUUCAUAAACGCUACCGUACGUGUUUAGCGUAUUGCGAUGAACCCGGGUCACCUGCGCGAAGAAGAAGAGCAAGAAGAUCUGUCGCUCCGUGUUCCCAGCUCCAUGUGUGCAUAAAUCAAAUGGUUGUUCACCAUGGAUCACGAGGAAGACGAGGGCAUCGUCAAGUUUCUCCUGCUCGUGAUGUUCGUGGUGUCGGCGGUGGUCGUCUCGCUUCUAGGGUUCAUGUUGUACGGUUUCCUGCGGAACAUCAACUACAUCGAUUACAGCAGCUAUUCGACUGCACUGCCCAAGUUGGCGCCGCGUUUUGUGGACUGAUUCGCGUGGCCGAAACGGAACUGCGCUUGGAGACAUCCCGCGUCACCAACGGGCCAUGUCACUGUGCAACGUUUAAGCGUUGGCUGUGACUUGUGUAUGUACUCGUUAUAUGUGUAUAAGUUGCAUUGUUGCGCGUUCAGCAAAGAACGACCUUAAUAAAUAUUGCACUACUGCA